This 2906-nucleotide ribosomal RNA is filed under the name Escherichia coli. RNAcentral's name for it is "23S ribosomal RNA". It matches the Rfam family "Bacterial large subunit ribosomal RNA". The record is from RNAcentral. Lineage: Bacteria; Pseudomonadati; Pseudomonadota; Gammaproteobacteria; Enterobacterales; Enterobacteriaceae.
GGUUAAGCGGCUAAGCGUACACGGUGGAUGCCCUGGCAGUCAGAGGCGAUGAAGGACGUGCUAAUCUGCGAUAAGCGUCGGUGAGGUGAUAUGAACCGUUAUAACCGGCGAUUUCCGAAUGGGGAAACCCAGUGUGAUUCGUCACACUAUCAUUAACUGAAUCCAUAGGUUAAUGAGGCGAACCGGGGGAACUGAAACAUCUAAGUACCCCGAGGAAAAGAAAUCAACCGAGAUUCCCCCAGUAGCGGCGAGCGAACGGGGAGGAGCCCAGAGCCUGAAUCAGUGUGUGUGUUAGUGGAAGCGUCUGGAAAGGCGCGCGAUACAGGGUGACAGCCCCGUACACAAAAAUGCACAUGCUGUGAGCUCGAUGAGUAGGGCGGGACACGUGGUAUCCUGUCUGAAUAUGGGGGGACCAUCCUCCAAGGCUAAAUACUCCUGACUGACCGAUAGUGAACCAGUACCGUGAGGGAAAGGCGAAAAGAACCCCGGCGAGGGGAGUGAAAAAGAACCUGAAACCGUGUACGUACAAGCAGUGGGAGCACAGAGCAAUCUGUGUGACUGCGUACCUUUUGUAUAAUGGGUCAGCGACUUAUAUUCUGUAGCAAGGUUAACCGAAUAGGGGAGCCGAAGGGAAACCGAGUCUUAACUGGGCGUUAAGUUGCAGGGUAUAGACCCGAAACCCGGUGAUCUAGCCAUGGGCAGGUUGAAGGUUGGGUAACACUAACUGGAGGACCGAACCGACUAAUGUUGAAAAAUUAGCGGAUGACUUGUGGCUGGGGGUGAAAGGCCAAUCAAACCGGGAGAUAGCUGGUUCUCCCCGAAAGCUAUUUAGGUAGCGCCUCGUGAAUUCAUCUCCGGGGGUAGAGCACUGUUUCGGCAAGGGGGUCAUCCCGACUUACCAACCCGAUGCAAACUGCGAAUACCGGAGAAUGUUAUCACGGGAGACACACGGCGGGUGCUAACGUCCGUCGUGAAGAGGGAAACAACCCAGACCGCCAGCUAAGGUCCCAAAGUCAUGGUUAAGUGGGAAACGAUGUGGGAAGGCCCAGACAGCCAGGAUGUUGGCUUAGAAGCAGCCAUCAUUUAAAGAAAGCGUAAUAGCUCACUGGUCGAGUCGGCCUGCGCGGAAGAUGUAACGGGGCUAAACCAUGCACCGAAGCUGCGGCAGCGACGCUGAUGCGUUGUUGGGUAGGGGAGCGUUCUGUAAGCCUGUGAAGGUGUGCUGUGAGGCAUGCUGGAGGUAUCAGAAGUGCGAAUGCUGACAUAAGUAACGAUAAAGCGGGUGAAAAGCCCGCUCGCCGGAAGACCAAGGGUUCCUGUCCAACGUUAAUCGGGGCAGGGUGAGUCGACCCCUAAGGCGAGGCCGAAAGGCGUAGUCGAUGGGAAACAGGUUAAUAUUCCUGUACUUGGUGUUACUGCGAAGGGGGGACGGAGAAGGCUAUGUUGGCCGGGCGACGGUUGUCCCGGUUUAAGCGUGUAGGCUGGUUUUCCAGGCAAAUCCGGAAAAUCAAGGCUGAGGCGUGAUGACGAGGCACUACGGUGCUGAAGCAACAAAUGCCCUGCUUCCAGGAAAAGCCUCUAAGCAUCAGGUAACAUCAAAUCGUACCCCAAACCGACACAGGUGGUCAGGUAGAGAAUACCAAGGCGCUUGAGAGAACUCGGGUGAAGGAACUAGGCAAAAUGGUGCCGUAACUUCGGGAGAAGGCACGCUGAUAUGUAGGUGAGGUCCCUCGCGGAUGGAGCUGAAAUCAGUCGAAGAUACCAGCUGGCUGCAACUGUUUAUUAAAAACACAGCACUGUGCAAACACGAAAGUGGACGUAUACGGUGUGACGCCUGCCCGGUGCCGGAAGGUUAAUUGAUGGGGUCAGCGCAAGCGAAGCUCUUGAUCGAAGCCCCGGUAAACGGCGGCCGUAACUAUAACGGUCCUAAGGUAGCGAAAUUCCUUGUCGGGUAAGUUCCGACCUGCACGAAUGGCGUAAUGAUGGCCAGGCUGUCUCCACCCGAGACUCAGUGAAAUUGAACUCGCUGUGAAGAUGCAGUGUACCCGCGGCAAGACGGAAAGACCCCGUGAACCUUUACUAUAGCUUGACACUGAACAUUGAGCCUUGAUGUGUAGGAUAGGUGGGAGGCUUUGAAGUGUGGACGCCAGUCUGCAUGGAGCCGGCCUUGAAAUACCACCCUUUAAUGUUUGAUGUUCUAACGUUGGCCCCUGAUCGGGGUUGCGGACAGUGUCUGGUGGGUAGUUUGACUGGGGCGGUCUCCUCCUAAAGAGUAACGGAGGAGCACGAAGGUUGGCUAAUCCUGGUCGGACAUCAGGAGGUUAGUGCAAUGGCAUAAGCCAGCUUGACUGCGAGCGUGACGGCGCGAGCAGGUGCGAAAGCAGGUCAUAGUGAUCCGGUGGUUCUGAAUGGAAGGGCCAUCGCUCAACGGAUAAAAGGUACUCCGGGGAUAACAGGCUGAUACCGCCCAAGAGUUCAUAUCGACGGCGGUGUUUGGCACCUCGAUGUCGGCUCAUCACAUCCUGGGGCUGAAGUAGGUCCCAAGGGUAUGGCUGUUCGCCAUUUAAAGUGGUACGCGAGCUGGGUUUAGAACGUCGUGAGACAGUUCGGUCCCUAUCUGCCGUGGGCGCUGGAGAACUGAGGGGGGCUGCUCCUAGUACGAGAGGACCGGAGUGGACGCAUCACUGGUGUUCGGGUUGUCAUGCCAAUGGCACUGCCCGGUAGCUAAAUGCGGAAGAGAUAAGUGCUGAAAGCAUCUAAGCACGAAACUUGCCCCGAGAUGAGUUCUCCCUGACUCCUUGAGAGUCCUGAAGGAACGUUGAAGACGACGACGUUGAUAGGCCGGGUGUGUAAGCGCAGCGAUGCGUUGAGCUAACCGGUACUAAUGAACCGUGAGGCUUAACCUU